This is a non-coding RNA of Pelobates cultripes (western spadefoot toad), 896 nucleotides long. NCBI's taxonomy places the organism in Eukaryota, Metazoa, Chordata, Amphibia, Anura, Pelobatidae. The record is from the annotation of a GenBank genome assembly.
CAUGGAUCAGUUUCGCACCGGGGCCUCAUGGAUUGUGUGUACGCCACUGCACGCACACACACACACACACACUCACACAGACACUCACUGACAGACAUACACACACACACACUCACUGACAGACAUACACUCACUCAGACAUUCACUGACAGACAUUCACUCACUCACUGAGAGACACACACACACACACACACACACACAGAAACUUACUGACAGACAUACAUUCAUACAUAAACACUCACUGACAGACAUACACUCACUCAAUGACAGACACACACACACACCAACACACACUCACAGACACUCAUUCGCUGGCAGUCAAACACUCACUGACACAGACUCACACAAUUAAUUUUUUUUAGGCAAAUUCAGCCUCCCUAUCUCCCCGGGGUCCAGUGUGGGGUAGCUCCUCACUCCUCCCGCCUGCUGUUUAGUAUGCUGGGGCCGGAAUGACGUCAUAUUCUGGCUCCCGGCAUCACAGAGGGCACGCGAGGGAGGAGUGAGAGGCUUCAAGAACAGCCUCCCUCGCCGCUUGCCUUUUCCUGGCUCCUCCGUUCACUGGCAUUUGAAGCUGCCUGCUCUGCCAUACUGAAGGACAACUUAGGGGAUGCCCUGCCUCCUGGACCCCCUGUGACAGGGUACCCCCACCUUUGGGCGCCUGGAGUCGUCCAGCACUGCGGCCCAAGACAGGGGGGGUCCACCAGGAAAUAUCCCGGUAAGCGUCCCACCCCCGCCGGCCCUGACUACAGCAUUUUGGAUGUGAGCAUUAAUUCUCUUGAUAAGAGAUUUGAGCACCAUCACAGCAAGCACUUUCACUUUCUAAACAAUGUUCAAAAGCUUAUUGUAGGUGGUUUACUCCCCACCAAUGCCUUUCAACUAACAUAUUUCACCCAAAG